UUUUUCAUUUCUCGUCAUCUCACGAGUCGUCUCGUCAUCCCGCUUUCGUCACCCUUCUCUCCACCUCCUCAUGUUCAGUCUAGAUCUACCCAUUGCCCUUUCUUCCUGGGCGAGCUCGCCUCAACCGCCGGGAGCUCGCCGCUAGAUAUGGUUUCCUUGUCCUCUUCGUCUCUUUCAUCCCCUCUGUGCUGCACUCCCAUGCCGACGCCGCCCCCAUCUCCGCCGGCUGCCGCGGUGGUUUGAGCUGUGCACGUGGCCAUGGUCUGCAUCUGCAACCUCUGCGGCGUAUGUCUCGUGGUCACCCGGCAGCUGCUCUCCAACGACACAGAACAACGCCACCCGUGCCACGACGGCCGCCUCCAUCAAAGCCUCUUGCUUCAUCUCCCUAGAUCUCGUUGCUUAGAUGCAUUUCUUCCAAGAAACAAUCAAAGGCCCAAGUGUCUAGCUCCAGCGCGAUGGUUGAGUCGUGACUUGUGAGGUCCCAGGUUCAAGAGGGUAUGGAGGGAGUGUAUAGCAAGUUAGACACCAAGAAGUUUCUCCCCUAUUUUGCUUUGUCAUUUUCCAUCAAUUCGGUUGAAUAAUUUUUAUUUGAACCAUAUUAUGUUGACAUUGUGAAUUGCGCAACGGGUGUUAUCAUGUGAAUAAUUCUAACACUGAACUUUUUCAUGCGAAUGGUGUUUACCUUUUUCAGGUCCGCCUAUACGAUACUGCAUUGCAAAGAAGACCUGAGUCUCCAAUCAAGACAGUUGCUGCUGAUCCGAAUGGGUAUGAUGCCAUGAUGUCUAGAAACAACGCUGACCUACCUGUGUGCUGAGUUCUAAGUAGUCGGCAAGUUUUUAUUUUCAGAUUUGGAGACUUCUUUUUCACUCAUUCUAACUUGAAGUAUAUGAAAAAAGAGCAAUGCUUGUAGUAAUUUUUAAGGCACCACUAUGCACCCUUUCGCUGUGUUUUGAUGCUUAGUACACCCAGUAAUCUGUAUCUUGUCAUUAACAACUUUUUUUUGUACUGAGUAUACCAACAACAUUCUCAGUGGUAGCACUAAGCAGAUGCAUCUGUUUUCUUGUUCUCAA
Sorghum bicolor (sorghum) is the source of this 1070-nucleotide long non-coding RNA. RefSeq lists it as uncharacterized. The record is from RefSeq and is a predicted model, not a curated record. The transcript is spliced from 2 exons. Lineage: Eukaryota; Viridiplantae; Streptophyta; Magnoliopsida; Poales; Poaceae.